RNAcentral lists this ribosomal RNA (491 nucleotides) under uncultured bacterium. RNAcentral's name for it is "partial 16S ribosomal RNA". It matches the Rfam family "Bacterial small subunit ribosomal RNA", at positions 28 to 507 of the family's 1533-position model. The record is from RNAcentral.
GAUGAACGCUGGCUACAGGCUUAACACAUGCAAGUCGAGGGGAAACGACGGGGAAGCUUGCUUCCCCGGGCGUCGACCGGCGCACGGGUGAGUAACGCGUAUCCAACCUGCCUCUGACUGAGGGAUAACCCGUCGAAAGUCGGCCUAAUACCUCAUGGUAUCGUCUGCGGGCAUCCAACGACGAUUAAAGAUUUCAUCGGUCAGGGAUGGGGAUGCGUCUGAUUAGCUUGUUGGCGGGGUAACGGCCCACCAAGGCUACGAUCAGUAGGGGUUCUGAGAGGAAGGUCCCCCACAUUGGAACUGAGACACGGUCCAAAUUCCUACGGGAGGCAGCAGUGAGGAAUAUUGGUCAAUGGGCGAGAGCCUGAACCAGCCAAGUAGCGUGCAGGAAGACGGCCCUAUGGGUUGUAAACUGCUUUUAUGCGGGGAUAAGGUGAGGGACGUGUCCCUCAUUGCAGGUACCGCAUGAAUAAGGACCGGCUAAUUCCGUG